RNAcentral lists this ribosomal RNA (497 nucleotides) under uncultured bacterium. Its description in RNAcentral is "partial 16S ribosomal RNA". It matches the Rfam family "Bacterial small subunit ribosomal RNA", at positions 28 to 507 of the family's 1533-position model. The record is from RNAcentral.
GAUGAACGCUGGCGGCGUGCCUAAUACAUGCAAGUCGAGCGAACGGACGAGGAGCUUGCGUCGCUGAUGUUAGCGGCGGGCGGGUGAGUAACACGUGUAUAACCUACCUAUAAGACUGGGAUAACUUCGGGAAACCGUAUCUAAUACCGGAUAAUAUUUUGAACCGCAUGGUUCAAAGGUGAAAUACGGUCUUGGUGUCACUACUAGCUGGAUCCGCGCUGCUUUAGCUAGUCGGUAUGGUAACGGCUUACCAAGGCAACGAUGCAUAGCCGAACUGAGAGAGUGGUCGGCCACACUGGAACGGAGACACGGUCCAUACUCCUACGAGAGGGAGCAGUAGCGUAUCUGACGCAAUGGGCGGAAGCCUGGCGGAACAGCGGCGAGUGAGUGAUGGAGGCCCUCGGAGCGGAAAACUCUGUUAUGGGUGGAGAACAUAUGUGGAAGUAACUGUGGACAGCUUGACGGUAACGGAUCAGAAAGCCACGGCUAACUACGUG